UACCAGCACCCCGAGUGGUCGGGACGAUUAUUGGGCCUAAAGCGUCCGUAGCCGGUUCUACAAGUCUUCCGUUAAAUCCACCUGCUUAACAGAUGGGCUGCGGAGGAUACUAUGGAGCUAGGAGGCGGGAGAGGCAAGCGGUACUUAGGGGGUAGGGGUAAAAUCCGUUGAUCCAUUGAAGACCACCAGUGGCGAAGGCGGCUUGCCAGAAUGCGCUCGACGGUGAGGGGUGAAAGCUGGGGGAGCAAACCGG
This 253-nucleotide ribosomal RNA is filed under the name uncultured bacterium. Its description in RNAcentral is "partial 16S ribosomal RNA". It matches the Rfam family "Archaeal small subunit ribosomal RNA", at positions 474 to 727 of the family's 1478-position model. The record is from RNAcentral.